GGCGAACGCUGGCGGCGUGCUUAACACAUGCAAGUCGAACGGUAAGGCCCUUCGGGGUACACGAGUGGCGAACGGGUGAGUAACACGUGGGUGAUCUGCCCUGCACUUCGGGAUAAGCCUGGGAAACUGGGUCUAAUACCGGAUAGGACCACUGCCUGCAUGGGUGGUGGUGGAAAGCUUUUGCGGUGUGGGAUGGGCCCGCGGCCUAUCAGCUUGUUGGUGGGGUGAUGGCCUGCCAAGGCGACGACGGGUAGCCGGCCUGAGAGGGUGACCGGCCACACGGGGACUGAGAUACGGCCCAGACUCCUACGGGAGGCAGCAGUGGGGAAUAUUGCACAAUGGGCGCAAGCCUGAUGCAGCGACGCCGCGUGAGGGAUGACGGCCUUCGGGUUGUAAACCUCUUUCAGCACCGACGAAGCGCAAGUGACGGUAGGUGCAGAAGAAGGACCGGCCAACUACGUGCCAGCCGCCGCCGUAA
Molecule: ribosomal RNA, 478 nt
Filed under: uncultured bacterium
Lineage: Bacteria
Description: partial 16S ribosomal RNA
Rfam family: Bacterial small subunit ribosomal RNA
Source: RNAcentral